CCUUUGAGAAGAAAAAGUAGUAUCCCAACAUCUUUAGGAUACCUUAUGAAAUCAGCUCUUAUAGAUCUAGCCUCUAAAUUGUCUGCCUACUAUCGCUUGACAUGGGCUAGACAUCUCCAAAUCUUAAGAUGAUCAAGACUUGAUCUCUUACCAUAUCAUAUCUCAUAUGGUGUGAUAGGAACAAAUUUAGAGAGAACCCUAUUCAAAAGGUAAAUUUUAAAAAAUAAAACAUAUCUCCAAAGAAAUAAAGAUAAAUCAG
Molecule: long non-coding RNA, 259 nt
Filed under: Elaeis guineensis (African oil palm)
Lineage: Eukaryota; Viridiplantae; Streptophyta; Magnoliopsida; Arecales; Arecaceae
Description: long non-coding RNA (EGUI_LNC049832)
Source: RNAcentral